This 253-nucleotide ribosomal RNA is filed under the name uncultured bacterium. RNAcentral describes it as "partial 16S ribosomal RNA". It matches the Rfam family "Bacterial small subunit ribosomal RNA", at positions 524 to 776 of the family's 1533-position model. The record is from RNAcentral.
UACGGAGGGUGCAAACGUUGCUCGGAAUCAUUGGGCGUAAAGCGCACGUAGGCGGACCGCUAAGUCGGAUGUGAAAGCCCUCGGCUUAACCGAGGAAGUGCAUUCGAAACUGACAGUCUUGAGUAUGGAAGAGGGUCGCGGAAUUCCCGGUGUAGAGGUGAAAUUCGUAGAUAUCGGGAGGAACACCAGUGGCGAAGGCGGCGACCUGGGCCAAUACUGACGCUGAGGUGCGAAAGCAUGGGGAGCGAACAGG